This 66-nucleotide transfer RNA is filed under the name Marmota monax (woodchuck). RNAcentral describes it as "tRNA.Val". Lineage: Eukaryota; Metazoa; Chordata; Mammalia; Rodentia; Sciuridae. The record is from RNAcentral.
GGUUGUGACUCAGUGGUAGAUCACUUGCCUCACAUGCUUGAGGACUGGGUUCGAUCCUCACCACCA